RNAcentral lists this ribosomal RNA (468 nucleotides) under uncultured bacterium. RNAcentral's name for it is "partial 16S ribosomal RNA". It matches the Rfam family "Bacterial small subunit ribosomal RNA", at positions 28 to 507 of the family's 1533-position model. The record is from RNAcentral.
AACGAACGCUGGCGGCGUGCUUAACACAUGCAAGUCGAACGGAAGGGCCCUGCUUUUGUGGGGUGCUCGAGGGGCGAACGGGUGAAUAACACGUGAAUAACCUGACCUUGACUUUGGAAUAACUUCAGGAAACUGGGGCUAAUACCGGAUCGGAGCUGCUGAUGCAUGGUGGGGGUUGGAAAGUUUCGGCUGUUGGGGAUGGACUCGCGGGUUAUCAGCUUGUUGGUGGGGUAUUGGCUGACCAAUGCUUUGACGGGUAGCCGGCCUGAGAGGGUGGCCGGGCACAAUGGGACUGAGAGAGGGCCCAGACGCCUACGGUGGGCAGCAGUGGCGAACAUUGUACAAUGGUCGGAAGCGUGAGGCAGCAACGCCGCGUGUGGGAUGACGGCCUUCGGGUUGUAAACCGCUGCCGCCUGUGACGAAGCGUGAGUGACGGUAAUGGGUAAAGAAGCACCGGCUAACUACGUG